RNAcentral lists this ribosomal RNA (253 nucleotides) under uncultured bacterium. RNAcentral's name for it is "partial 16S ribosomal RNA". It matches the Rfam family "Bacterial small subunit ribosomal RNA", at positions 524 to 776 of the family's 1533-position model. The record is from RNAcentral.
UACAGAGGGGGCAAGCGUUGUUCGGAAUUACUGGGCGUAAAGGGCGCGUAGGCGGCUUGCUAAGUCGGACGUGAAAGCCCCGAGCUCAACUCGGGAACUGCGUCCGAUACUGACAGGCUUGAAUCCGGGAGAGGGAUGCGGAAUUCCAGGUGUAGCGGUGAAAUGCGUAGAUAUCUGGAGGAAUACCGGUGGCGAAGGCGGCAUCCUGGACCGGCAUUGACGCUGAGGAGCGAAAGCCAGGGGAGCAAACGGG